GACGAACGCUGGCGGCGUGCCUAAUACAUGCAAGUAGAACGCUGAAGGAGGAGCCUGCUCUUCUGGAUGAGUUGCGAACGGGUGAGUAACGCGUAGGUAACCUGCCUGGUAGCGGGGGAUAACUAUUGGAAACGAUAGCUAAUACCGCAUAACAUUGACUAUUGCAUGAUAGUCAAUUGAAAGGUGCAAAUGCACCACUACCAGAUGGACCUGCGUUGUAUUAGCUAGUUGGUGGGGUAACGGCUCACCAAGGCGACGAUACAUAGCCGACCUGAGAGGGUGAUCGGCCACACUGGGACUGAGACACGGCCCAGACUCCUACGGGAGGCAGCAGUAGGGAAUCUUCGGCAACGGACGGAAGUCUGACCGAGCAACGCCGCGUGAGUGAAGAAGGUUUUCGGAUUGUAAAGCUCUGUUGUAAGAGAAGAACGAGUGUGAGAGUGGAUUUUUCACACGGGGACG
This 462-nucleotide ribosomal RNA is filed under the name Streptococcus cristatus. Its description in RNAcentral is "bacterial SSU rRNA". It matches the Rfam family "Bacterial small subunit ribosomal RNA", at positions 28 to 474 of the family's 1533-position model. The record is from RNAcentral. Lineage: Bacteria; Bacillati; Bacillota; Bacilli; Lactobacillales; Streptococcaceae.